CAUCGUUCUGUGCUUCUUCGUAUCUUCAACAUAUCUAUCCUAAACUUUUGUUUCCAACAAAUUAAAACUAUCAUCACAAAAAAAACAACAUAGAACAUAUCAUCAAUCACCAAACCAAACCACAAGAAAUCGAUCGGCAUCUCAUACAAGCACCUUCUCGUCUAUCAGCAUAAUUUUGUACAAACAUCUCAAGAUGGAUCGCGCCAUCAUCAUCUCGUCCACCUCAGGAUUUAUCUCGCCAUCGAACAACAACAGCAAAGGCAGGCCUAUAACAAAACCAGAUCCAGAUCGGCUGGUGAAGUGCUCGGUUAGUUGCUGCAGCCUGCAGCGCGUAAAGCAAACACCCAGCGCUGCAGCAGUGCAGCGUGCUAAACCAUAUAUAAAACACAUGAUUGUGUUUAUUUUUCUUCUCAUAAGCAAACUCUUUCAUCGUGUUCUUGCUUUCUGUGAGUUAAUAUCACUACUGUUAACUGGUUAUUUCUCUUCUUCUUUUUCUUCGAUUUCUUUUUCUUCUCACAAUUUACGUUUCUUUGUGUUCUAGGUUUUUCUUCGAGCGAUUGAAGAUAUUGAAUUAAAGGUAAAUGACUUUAAUUUUUUUCUUGAUUUAAUUUUCUUUGUGUUCUAGGGUUUUCUCUUUCUGAAGAUUGUUUAGGUUUUAGUUUUGAAAUUCGGUUUAGUGACUAUAACUAAUAGCACUAUCUUCUUCUUCUUCAGAUCGAUCUGUUUUCUCUUAGGUUUCAACAAC
RNAcentral lists this long non-coding RNA (745 nucleotides) under Aquilegia coerulea. RNAcentral's name for it is "long non-coding RNA (ACOE_LNC000714)". The record is from RNAcentral. Lineage: Eukaryota; Viridiplantae; Streptophyta; Magnoliopsida; Ranunculales; Ranunculaceae.